AGAGGGAGUUCCGCGCACGUAUCUAUUGGUUCUGCCUCGAUGGCGGGCAGCCGUACCGGGGUUUUGCGAGCGCUGCAGGCAGUGGACACCGAGCUUACUGCGGACUCGGUGGAAUGGUGCCCGGUUGAGGGUUGCCAGCAUCUGCUGGCCUGCGGAACCUACCAGCUGCGAGCGCCCAAGGACCAGGUGCAUGGCUGGGAGGUUGAGGCCGGGGCAGAAGAGGGACUGCUAACCUAAAAGGUCUAGAACUGAGUACUAAUGGGAAGGGACUUUUUGGGACUGUGCCUAUUUCCGGAAGGUUUUCUGAGCAUCCAAAAAAACCGCUUAAGAGAAUUAUGGCUAUGUAACUGCUGGCAGGUCGGAACUGUACUGGCUGUACUGGAUCCGGG
Molecule: long non-coding RNA, 389 nt
Filed under: Rattus norvegicus (Norway rat)
Lineage: Eukaryota; Metazoa; Chordata; Mammalia; Rodentia; Muridae
Description: long non-coding RNA NONRATT017855
Source: RNAcentral